This 253-nucleotide ribosomal RNA is filed under the name uncultured bacterium. Its description in RNAcentral is "partial 16S ribosomal RNA". It matches the Rfam family "Bacterial small subunit ribosomal RNA", at positions 524 to 776 of the family's 1533-position model. The record is from RNAcentral.
UACGUAGGGUGCGAGCGUUAAUCGGAAUUACUGGGCGUAAAGCGUGCGCGGGCGGUUGUGCAAGACAGGUGUGAAAUCCCCGGGCUUAACCUGGGAACUGCACUUGUGACUGCACGACUUGAGUACGGCAGAGGGGGAUGGAAUUCCGCGUGUAGCAGUGAAAUGCGUAGAUAUGCGGAGGAACACCGAUGGCGAAGGCAGUCCCCUGGGCCUGUACUGACGCUCAUGCACGAAAGCGUGGGGAGCAAACAGG